CGGUACCUACGGGGGGCAGCAGUAGGGAAUCUUCCACAAUGGACGAAAGUCUGAUGGAGCAACGCCGCGUGAGUGAAGAAGGGUUUCGGCUCGUAAAACUCUGUUGGUAGUGAAGAAAGAUAGAGGUAGUAACUGGCCUUUAUUUGACGGUAAUUACUUUGAAAGUCACGGCUAACUUCGUGCCAGCAGCCGCGGUAAUACGUAGGUGGCAAGCGUUGUCCGGAUUUAUU
This 230-nucleotide ribosomal RNA is filed under the name uncultured bacterium. RNAcentral's name for it is "partial 16S ribosomal RNA". It matches the Rfam family "Bacterial small subunit ribosomal RNA", at positions 333 to 555 of the family's 1533-position model. The record is from RNAcentral.